This is a non-coding RNA of Coturnix japonica (Japanese quail), 2790 nucleotides long. Lineage: Eukaryota; Metazoa; Chordata; Aves; Galliformes; Phasianidae. The record is from RefSeq and is a predicted model, not a curated record.
GGGGCUUUAGUCCGGAGGAGGCCCAGUGAAGAUCUUGUCAUUCUCUUCAGCUGCCUGAAUGGAGAUUGUAGUGAGGUGAGGUCUGGCCUCUUCUCCCAGGACAGACAUUUCCUGCUUCAAUGCUACACAUGCUGCAGCAUAUGUACCAGAAUACGCAGGAACAAGUGAUACGAGACUCCUCGCCUUUUACCAAUCACUGUCUGCAAACAUUAUGAUGAAAAAUUGUAGCCAUUUUCCCAUCUUAGAGUGUUCUUCAUGAUAGCUAGCACAUGAGAGACAUUACGGAGACACUGGAUGCAUCAGUCUAAUACUUUUAAGAGACAAACUUUGCAGAAUGUUAUUGAUUAAAAUGCUCUUGAUGAAAUGAUGAGGAUACCACUUCUUUUUUACCUAAAGAACAAAAAAACGGGUUUUUCUGGCUUUUAUGGAGCAAUGGACUCCCUCUGUUAUCCUGGGCCACCAGUAUUUAUUUUACAGCAGAAACUGGAAUGCGCAACCAAGACUUCUGCAUCAUUUUGUUUCUUUCCCAUUUGGAGAAAGCUCAGCAGCUGGAGAAAAAGUCACACUGAUGUCCCAUGAUCAUGAUCUACUUUUUUCUCUGUAAGCGGAGCCUAAAAAGCCCGCGAGGUCACCCCACUUAAAUGCCAGCUUAUGUUUCCUAAAUCAUAGAAUCAUGGAACUAUAGAAUCACCAAGGUUCAAAAAGACCUACAAGGUCAUCCAGACCAGCUGUCCACCUAUCAUCAAUAGUUAUCACUAAACCAUGGUCCUCAAAACAAUGACUAAAAGUUCCUUGAAACUACUAUAUAGCAGAGGAAUAAAGUUUCAGUAAUAGACUUGAGCUACACAGUUUCUUCUGUAUGAAUCCCAGCAAUUUCUUUUCUUGACCUAAUGAAAAAAAAAAAGAAUUUUACAGCUCCACAAACUUCAGAUUCACUGAGAACUAAAUAAAAUAACCGUGGUAGAACUAUGAUCUCAUCAGCAUCCCACACAUUUACUUUUGUGUUGUACUCCUUUAUAUUGCAUGCCUAAUUAAUCAGGGGACUUAACAAUUACAAAAUUCAACUACUAAUUUCUUACUGAGUUCUGGAAAAAGAAAUAGAAUCAAAAAGAAAAGAUUAUGAAUUAGAAGUUUCUUGGAAGUGAUAUAGGCACAACCCCUUAUAUAUGGAAAUCACUCAGCUAUCUUUUCAAGCCCACAAUCGACUUUUCAAGAAUUCUUGAAAGAAAACCCACAUUCAUACCACUGCUGAAGGAUUUUAUUGCUAUUUAUAGGGUUUUGUGUUUGUUUGUUUGUUUCUUGCAGAAGCCAUAGAGGAAGAAAGAGAUUUUCCACCUUUAUUCACAUUUUUUAUCAUACCUGUGUAGUCUCAACAGGAACAAGAAGAUGUCACAUUUCAGAUGAGUUUAUACAGAUUCAUAGAGUUCUAGAGACAAUAAUAUCUCCAUAUGAAUGGCACUGAAAAACCAAAUUGAAACAUUAUGCUGUAAUUCCCCCUGAAGAUUCACUUUCACAUACUAUGCACUGAAUAAUAACCUGAAAGGACUGCAUAUUUCUAAAACUAAACUGUUGGGUUUUUGUUUGUUUGUUUGUUUUUUUAUUUAUUUAUUGUUAUUCUGAUACUUAUUAAUGGAGAAGUUAUAAACUGCAGAUAAAACACACUGCCUUUCUGGUUUCAUCUGAAUGUUUUUUCUUGCUAACCUAUGCUCUUGCUAAGUCUCCUUAUUGGCUGCCACAGAUUUCUUUCAAAUGUUUGCUUUCUUUAUUUCACACAAAUGUCAGUUGUGACAGAAGCUGAGUAACUGAAUGAAAAGAUAUAUUCCAUAAAGCUUUUGACUUCCCAGAUGACAAGGCACACUUGUACCUAAAAUUAUGAUUUUCUUCACUCUUGCAAAUUGAUUACUGUUUCUCUAAACUUUUUAUAUUGAAGCAUUAUGUACAUGUAAGUAUGUUUGUACAAAAAACUGUCUGGAGAUUAGGAAGGAGCUGAACUCCUUUUAUGCUUUUUUUUUCCCCCUGUAUUUUCUGAACUACCACCACAACCUUUAAGACCUCAGCAGAAGUCCAACUUAGGAUCAAAGGAAUUUGUUAUUUUAUUCCCAUAUUAUAUUCAGUUCUACUCAGAGUCAGACAGACACUAACAGAAGUCAGAACUAGAAGUACUCCAAGAGCCUAGCUACUGCAAGAGCUCCUGGAUCCCAAAGACACCCAUAUUGAAAGAUGCUGUCAAGUGGCUCCAUGGCUCCAGAAGAUCAAUAUGUCAGAAGUCAUGAAGAGCAAAUAUAUUUCUUCUACAUAGGUCGGACAGACUGUCUGCCAAGAGUGAACAAUAAUUUCUGUUUUUUAUCUUUGUUCAGUGAUAGUAGGUGAAUACAAAACCAGCCUGUCCACAAAACUAUCUUUUUGUGGUAACUUCAGCGUGUUUUUAACUUUUCUUGCAUGUUUGCAACUUCAGUUUUCCUGUGUUUUACUAGAAGCUACUAGACAUUGCAGCUGUGUUCCAAGUUACACCUGAGAGGAAGCUAGGGAGGGAAGUUCACCAUUUCUAAGUCUUGCUCUCCUGUAAUGAGUGCUUACUUUCAGUGGGAUCAACAAGGGUUCAUUUACUUUGGUAAACGUGAUGUUAUGAAUAAAACCCACACCUCUCAUUGUUCUAUUGCUACAUGGUUGAAUAAACUCACACAGCAGAUUUUCUCCUCCUGAAGGGAGGUUGUAGUGAGCUGGGGGUUGGCCUCUUCUCUCAUGUAAUCGAUGAUAGAACUAGAGGGAAUGGUUUUAAGCUGCGCCAGG